GCUGAGAGUUGGGAAACUCCGGUGAAAUUCCGGGACUGUGCCGCAGCUGUGAUGGUAAGGCAAACAACAACAUUCACUUUUUACCUGCCAAGUCAGAAUGCCAACCUUAGC
RNAcentral lists this non-coding RNA (111 nucleotides) under Umezakia ovalisporum. The record is from RNAcentral. Lineage: Bacteria; Bacillati; Cyanobacteriota; Cyanophyceae; Nostocales; Nodulariaceae.